UACGGGGGGGGCAAGCGUUGUUCGGAAUUACUGGGCGUAAAGGGCUCGUAGGCGGCCAACUAAGUCGGACGUGAAAUCCCCGGGCUCAACCUGGGAACUGCAUUUGUGACUGCAUGGCUAGAGUACGGUAGAGGGGGAUGGAAUUCCGCGUGUAGCAGUGAAAUGCGUAGAUAUGCGGAGGAACACCGAUGGCGAAGGCAAUCCCCUGGACCUGUACUGACGCUCAUGCACGAAAGCGUGGGGAGCAAACAGG
Molecule: ribosomal RNA, 253 nt
Filed under: uncultured bacterium
Lineage: Bacteria
Description: partial 16S ribosomal RNA
Rfam family: Bacterial small subunit ribosomal RNA
Source: RNAcentral